CCAGGACAGUGAAGGGAGAAGCUGAUGUCGGACUUCUUUGGUGGUUGAGGGGUUAAGAAUCUGCCUGCCAAGGCAGAGAACACGAGUUUAAUCCCUGGUCCAGGAAGAUUCCCCAUGCUUCGGGGCAACUAAGGCCGUGCAGCACUACUGAGCCUGAGCUCAGAGCGCGCGUGCUUGGCAGCAAGAGAAACCACAAUGAGAAGCUCUCACAGUGUGACUAGAGAGUAGCCUCUGCUCACCACAGCUAGAGAAAGCCCGCGAGGAGCAGCAGAGAUCCAGAGCAGUCAGUAAAUCAAUACAUGAAAAGCUGGUGUCAGGGUCAAAGCAAAACAGAGUCAGACCAGGCCAGAAGAAAUGCAGAGGGGGAUCAGAGGACAAGGAGAGAGGCCCCAGGAAUCUGGGUGUUGAAGUUCAGUGUGAGUUUAGGAGAUGAAGGCUGGAGUGGGAGGAAACAGCAAGCAGGCGCUCGGCCCAGCCCAGCCUUCAGCCGUCGCUAGAAAUGGGGACAGAGUGACCUUGACUUGUUUUCCAAGCUCUGUAACAGGAGGGCUGGCAGCACACAGACCCAGUGUGUGGGUAGCAGGGGGCUUUUCUGCAGCUGGCUCUGUUCAUUUGCCUCGUGUUUGUAUAGUGUGCCUGGUUCUAGCGUGUUCAUUUUCCUGCUGAGCCCUGCUGAAAUAUAAAUGUAGGGAGUUCCCUGGUGGCCCAGGGGCUGACACUCUGUGCUCCCAAUGCAAGGGGCCUGGAUGUGAUGCCUGGUCAGGGAACUAGAUCUCACAUGCGGCAAUUAAGAGUUCCCAUGCCACAACAAAAAGAUGAAGAUCAAAGAUCCCAAGGGACAAAACUAAGAGCUGGUACAGCCAAAUAAAUAAAUAAAAUAAACAUUUUAUUAUUUAUUUAUUUUUUAUUUAUUUUUUUAAAAUAAACAUUUUAAAAAGAGAAAUUUCUGUUGUACCCUGAGGUUCCCUGUGUCCCUUUGCUGUCAGUCUACCCACUACCACCCAGCCAGGCAACCACGGGUCUGCUUUCUGUUACUUUAGCUGCGGCUUUCUAGAAUUUCUAUAAAUAAGAUCAUAAAAAGU
This is a long non-coding RNA of Bos taurus (domestic cattle), 1082 nucleotides long. The record is from Ensembl. Lineage: Eukaryota; Metazoa; Chordata; Mammalia; Artiodactyla; Bovidae.